UACGUAGGCAGCAAGCGUUGUUCGGAAUUACUGGGCGUAAAGGGCUCGUAGGCGGCCAACUCAGUCGGACGUGAAAUCCCUCGGCUUAACCGGGGAAUGGCGUCCGAUACUGGAUGGCUUGAGUUUGGGAGAGGGAUGCGGAAUUCCAGGUGUAGCGGUGAAAUGCGUAGAUAUCUGGAGGAACACCGGUGGCGAAGGCGGCAUCCUGGACCAACACUGACGCUGAGGAGCGAAAGCCAGGGGAGCAAAGCGGG
This 254-nucleotide ribosomal RNA is filed under the name uncultured bacterium. RNAcentral's name for it is "partial 16S ribosomal RNA". It matches the Rfam family "Bacterial small subunit ribosomal RNA", at positions 524 to 777 of the family's 1533-position model. The record is from RNAcentral.